RNAcentral lists this ribosomal RNA (253 nucleotides) under uncultured bacterium. RNAcentral describes it as "partial 16S ribosomal RNA". It matches the Rfam family "Bacterial small subunit ribosomal RNA", at positions 524 to 776 of the family's 1533-position model. The record is from RNAcentral.
UACGUAGGGUGCGAGCGUUAAUCGGAAUUACUGGGCGUAAAGCGUGCGUAGGCGGUCCGCAAAGUCUGAUGUGAAAGCCCCGGGCUCAACCUGGGAACUGCAUUGGAAACUAACGGGCUCGAGUGUGGCAGAGGGGGGUGGAAUUCCACGUGUAGCAGUGAAAUGCGUAGAGAUGUGGAGGAACACCAGUGGCGAAGGCGACUUCCUGGCCUGUUCUUGACGCUGAGGCGCGAAAGCUAGGGGAGCAAACGGG